GCCCCUCUAGCUCAAUGGCAGAGCAGCGUCCUUUUAAGUCGUGGGUUCUCGGUUCGAGUCCGAGGGGGGGCACCG
This 75-nucleotide transfer RNA is filed under the name Bifidobacterium aquikefiri. RNAcentral's name for it is "tRNA-Lys". It matches the Rfam family "tRNA". Rfam says of the family: Transfer RNA (tRNA) molecules are approximately 80 nucleotides in length. Their secondary structure includes four short double-helical elements and three loops (D, anti-codon, and T loops). The record is from RNAcentral. Lineage: Bacteria; Bacillati; Actinomycetota; Actinomycetes; Bifidobacteriales; Bifidobacteriaceae.